UACGUAGGUGGCAAGCGUUGUCCGGAAUUAUUGGGCGUAAAGCGCGCGCAGGCGGUUCCUUAAGUCUGAUGUGAAAGCCCACGGCUCACCCGUGGAGGGUCAUUGGAAACUGGGGGUCUUGAGUGCAGAAGAGGAGAGCGGAAUUCCACGUGUAGCGGUGAAAUGCGUAGAGAUGUGGAGGAACACCAGUGGCGAAGGCGGCUCUCUGGUCUGUAACUGACGCUGAGGCGCGAUAGCGUGAGGAGCAAACAGG
Molecule: ribosomal RNA, 253 nt
Filed under: uncultured bacterium
Lineage: Bacteria
Description: partial 16S ribosomal RNA
Rfam family: Bacterial small subunit ribosomal RNA
Source: RNAcentral